CAACAAGUAGUUUAAUUAAAAUAUUAAUUUUGGAGAUUAAUGAUGGGAUUCUUCUUUUUGUUGA
Molecule: transfer RNA, 64 nt
Filed under: Neocentrocnemis stali
Lineage: Eukaryota; Metazoa; Arthropoda; Insecta; Hemiptera; Reduviidae
Description: tRNA-Pro
Source: RNAcentral